Molecule: long non-coding RNA, 201 nt
Organism: Mizuhopecten yessoensis (Yesso scallop)
Lineage: Eukaryota; Metazoa; Mollusca; Bivalvia; Pectinida; Pectinidae
Exons: 3
Source: RefSeq, a predicted model, not a curated record
GGCGGUCACCUCAUCCCCGCCGGAACUGACAUGAUGGUAAGUUUCUACGCGACGUCCAGGGCAGAGCAAAAUGUAAGAGAUCCGACAAAGUUUUCGCCAGAACGAUUCCACAUCGACAGCUCAGAGAAGUUUAGUAAAUACGCCUCCACACCCUUCUCAGCUGGGCCUCAUACAUGUAUAGGGAAAAAGUUUGCCGAGGUA